Non-coding RNA from Pelobates cultripes (western spadefoot toad), 172 nucleotides. Lineage: Eukaryota; Metazoa; Chordata; Amphibia; Anura; Pelobatidae. The record is from the annotation of a GenBank genome assembly.
AGAGAGAGAGAGGUUUAAGGAACAUUUAAAGGUCUCUCUCUCUCAUUUAAAGGUCUCUCUCUCUCUCUAUAUAUAUAUAUAUAUAUAUAUAGAGAGAGAGAGAGACCUUUAAAUGAGAGAGAGAGAGAGACCUUUAAAUGUUCCUUAAACCUCUCUCUCUCUCUAUAUAUAU